AUGGAGCCUCUCAGAGAUCAUGGCGCGAGCUGCUUGCCGAUGAUGAUCAUGGUGCUGCUGUGCCUGGGCGGCGCGGCUUGUGGCCAGCUGAGCGACGACUUCUACGACGACAGCUGCCCGAAGCUGGAGAGCAUCGUCCAGGCGCGCGUGGCCGCCGCGAUGAAGGCCGAGCUACGGAUGGGCGCCUCCCUGCUCCGGCUCCACUUCCACGACUGCUUCGUCAACGGGUGUGACGGGUCGAUCCUGCUGGACGGGGCGGAGAGCGAGAAGCUGGCGGCGCCGAACCUCAACUCGGUGAGGGGAUACGAGGUCAUCGACGCCAUCAAGGCCGACCUCGAGAAGGCCUGCCCGGGGCUCGUCUCCUGCGCCGACGUCGUCGCGCUCGCCGCCAAAUACGGCGUACUCCUCAGCGGAGGGCCUGACUACGAUGUUCUUCUGGGAAGAAGGGACGGGCUGGUGGCGAACCAGACCUUGGCCAACAACAACCUGCCAAGCCCGUUCGACAACAUCACCGUGAUCAUACAGAGGUUCAAGGACGUCGGCCUUAACACAACAGACGUGGUCAUCUUAUCAGGAGCCCACACGAUCGGGCGGUCGCGGUGCGUGCUCUUCAGCGGCCGGCUGGCCAACUUCUCGGCGGCCAACUCGGUGGACCCGACCAUGGACCCGGCGCUGGCGUCCAGCCUGCAGCAGCUGUGCCGGGGCGGCGACGGCAACCAGACGGCCGCGCUGGACGCCGGCUCCGCCGACGCCUUCGACAACCACUACUUCAAGAACCUGCUGGCCAAGAAGGGCCUCCUCUCCUCCGACCAGGGCCUCGUCUCCAGCCCCGACGGCGCCGCCGCCACCAGGGCCCUCGUGCAGGCCUACAGCUACAACAGCCAGCGCUUCCUCUGCGACUUCAGCGACGCCAUGGUCCGGAUGGGCAACAUCGCCCCCCUCACCGGCUCCGCCGGCCAGAUCCGCAAGAAAUGCAGCGCCGUCAACUGA
Molecule: ribosomal RNA, 990 nt
Filed under: Triticum aestivum (bread wheat)
Lineage: Eukaryota; Viridiplantae; Streptophyta; Magnoliopsida; Poales; Poaceae
Description: partial small subunit ribosomal RNA
Source: RNAcentral